This 1563-nucleotide long non-coding RNA is filed under the name Lingula anatina. RNAcentral's name for it is "uncharacterized LOC106178732". The record is from RNAcentral. Lineage: Eukaryota; Metazoa; Brachiopoda; Lingulata; Lingulida; Lingulidae.
GAUACGGAAGCAGGGCUGUAUGUGUUGCUAUGGUCCUCUCUACUAGACUCGACUGAGAAAUAUCGUCAAUCCCAUGCAUAAAUUCUUGCUGGACCUCGAUGAUUUGAUACCAGAUGGAAUCAAAUUAUUUCUACCCCGGAUAAAUCCUUAUGCCUUCACACAUCUGGCAACUCCAAGUCUUUACUUCAUACAGAUUGAAGGUAUUCAUCAGAUUCGCAGGGAAGGCUUUGUAUAUAUGAAUACCUCGCUCAAGUUUGAUUUCCGAAUGUUUCAGCUUCGACGAAUUUGUUUACCGCGCUAAGAUCCUUGAUAUGCACUUUGAGCACGCGACACAUUUGCCUUGCAGAAUUCUCUGUCAGCCCCCAAAUCAGUAGUUCUUUAAUUGGCUCAUAUCGUUUGGACGAGAAAGACAUUAACACAGGAUUUGCAAAAUCAGUUAAUCCCAUUUGACUAAUGCAAUGCACAAAAGGGACGCCAACCCAUUUUAUUUCAUUCUAACGCAAUAGACAGAUGAAAAGUGUGUAGACUUCUGGAAUUAAUAGAGUAGUACAUGUAUGUACGUAUACGUAUCAUGGUUUUUUAUACAUUUUACCAGAAGGAUCUGUUUGAUGAAACUAUUAUGUUCCUGAUAGAUCAAUAGGAGCCAUCAACCCGAUUAUUUGUUGGAUCUUCCAUCGCUUCUUGAAAAAGGUCAUUCAAUAGGCAAGACAAUCUAUUUCGACGGCUUAGCAAAUAGCACGGAUGGAUUUUCAAAUAAAAUACGUCUCUGCGCAACUUGGAUUGCUGUCAUCUGAACAAUUUCUGCGUGUAACAGAUACAUAUAGAAACUCUUGUGACGAUAUGUAUUACUCGGCAAAAAUAUAACCAUUGAUAAUGACAGCAUUUCCAAUGGCUAGUGAAAUUUAUGAACUUGACAAUUCCUAUUUUCCAGUCUUAACAACCUACACUAAUGAAGAAUAUGCACUCCGUACCAACGGGACAGAUCUUAAUUGCACGGAAAUCUUGUACGAUAUCUCAAUGACAAAUGCCCGUCUAUGUGAGGCAACAGGAAAUUGGUUGAUUUGCUUUUCUUUUCGCUUACGUCUAAUAGGCCGCCCAGUGGUGUUCGUGAUGGGAUUACUAGCGAAUGCGUGUGCCAUUUGCGUGCUCAACAGACCUUCCUUACGCAAGAACACUACAUGUAUAUUCCUUAUUGGAGUCGCAGUGGCAGACAUGUUCAUUUUGGUCAACGGAUUCUUCCACUGGGCUGAGUAUGAACUAAGCGAUAGUCCCAUUUUGUCGGCUAAUCUUUACAUUUGCAAAUCAUCUUUAUUUAUACUUUAUACUGCCCCUGAAAUAAGUGCACUCUUACUGGUGAUUAUGAGUGCAGAGAGACUAAUGAAAAUCAGAUACCCGCAUCGUUGGUCACCAUAUUCGAAUCCUCGUACUGCGAAGAAAGUCGUUCUACUCGUUAGUGGUGUGACUAUUGCGAUUAACGGUCAUAUUUUCUUUGCCGAUGUGUACUUUUCUAUUUGUGGUUUUGACAUUUGCUGGAAUACCUAUCACGACAGCGUGGAUUUACUU